GUUGUGUUUAAUAUAUAUACCAUCUAUUUUAUUUUUAUUUAAUAUCCUGUUUAUAAAACAAUCAGAAAAAAUGAUUCCAGAAUAAAUUUGUAAUUUUGACCAAAGGAGCUGUAAAACCCUGAAAAGAAAUUUCCUUUUUAAUUGUUACAAAUUUUAAGCUCCCCUUUCUUUAUUCUUCAGAUAGAUAUCAAUUCUUUAAGGUAUUAUUCACAUAUAACAAGAGGAAUUUAAAUCAGAACUUGUAAUAAUCUUAUUACAAUUCUGUAUCUUCUAACCUUUUUAAAAAAUAGAUCUGAUUUCCAAAACUGUUACAUGAAGUAAAUUUUAUUAGUACACAUUGCAUUGUGACUUCAUAUAGAAGUGGGAAAAAGAAAUAAUUAUCUCAGAUUCCAAAAUAUCAUUUCUUAUUUCUCCAAUUACAAUUUUUUUUUUUUUCUGAGGCAAUGGGGUUAAGUGACUUGCCCUGCGUCACACAACUAGGAAGUGUUAAGUGUCUGAGGCCAGAUUUGAAUUCAGGUCUCCUGACUUCAGGGCUGGUGCUCUAACCACUACCACUGCACCAACUAGCUGCCUCUCCAAUUAUAUUUUAAUAGCUCUCAUAUUUCAAUAAUUCAGUUCAACAACAAAUUUAUAAAAUAUAUUUUAUAUGUAAAGUAUUUUAUUAUAUGGCAUUCAGAAACAAAGACUCAGUUCCAGCUAUCACAUACUUUAUAAAUUUAAUUGAGGAGAUAGGUAUGAAAAUAAAAUAUUGGGAGAUGCCUUAUUGAAAAAGUUAAAAAAACUGAAAAAUGUUAUUAAUCUUUUUUUUUUGAAUUUUAGUUAAAGCCAUUUCUUCCUUAUGAAUCUCUAUUUACCUUUUCCUACCUCAUUACUUUUCUUUAUAUUGUUCCCUAUGUUUGGAAUAACUUUCUGAGCCUUUUUUUUUUCUUCUGAAAUUCUAGCUGUAUUUCAAGGCCCACAUCAAGCAAUACUGUGUAUAUAAAGCUUUUAUUGGUCCUUCUAAACUUAUAUGACUCUUUUAAUUCUUAAAUACAUUUCAUAGAUUCUUCUUUCUCCCAUACUUAUAGCUUAGUAAACACUGAUAAAGUAGCUACUAUGUGCCAGUCAAGGGUUAGAAAGAUUAAAAAAAAGACAUUUCUUGCCCUCAAAGAAUUGCAAUGUACAUAAAAUGACACAUAAUAUAAAAGGAAAUGAAGAAAUUGGGAGUUUGCACUACCUGGUGCUGCGACAUGUAGAAAAAUUACAGAAGUUGCUAGAGUGCAGCAAAGUGAGAAAUGAGAUGUUUGUUUUGAGUCCCCUCCUUUGAAAUUCAUGGUUCUUCUCUCCAGUCAGAGGAUAUCUUACUUAUCUUCCCUUCUAGAUUAUUAUAAUUUGAGGAUAAGAAUUGUGUAUCCUAUUAUUUUUAUCCAUUCCUACUAUUUGAAUUUGUUGAAUAAUUAAAAUAUUCAUCAAUAUAUGUGCUGUGGUAAAUUCAUACAUAGUUAUGGAAAAGAGUUCUACAAAAUGUUCUAUAAAAGAUAUUCUAUAAACCAAAUGUCUAAAAUAGGUUAUUGAAAACAUCUAAUUCUUUGCAAGAUUUGAUUGUUAGGUCUUCUGGCAAGUGCAGUAGGUAGGGUAGAUUGCAUUUAUUUGGUAAUACAAAUGGUAGUUUGCAUUAUUUGUGCUAGCCAUAGAUUAAAGAAAAAUUUUGGAGGACAUUGUACAUUUCAUUCUCAUUAAUUAUAGGAAUAUACAACAGACUCAGAGGAGAAAGAAAAGAAAACUGAUGUAUUAGUUCACAAUGAUAUUAGUAAACAAAUAGAUUGUGAAACUCCCAAUAUUCCCAAUGAGCUACAAGUUCAUAGUACAUUAGACAAACGUGCUACUAGUAAAGAUAAGUUAUUGUUUUGACAGGGCUCCCGAUUUCAUCAUUUUAGGAAGUUCACAAGGAAUAAAUUUCUAGUGAUGCACAUUAGUUACUGUUCUAGGGCAUCUAGUCUUACCAAGGAACUUGGGGGCUAAGAAAUUCAGUGUCUUAUCACACACACCCAAAAUAUCAGCAAUGGAAACUGACCUCAGGGCUUCCUAAUUCCAAACUGACCCUGUAUCCACUAUAUUGUGCUGUGCCUCAAGUUGUAAAACAUGCUUACAAAAGUUUCAUUUGGUAAAAUGCCAUUAUAAACUAUUAAAUGUUAAGUUUAUUUUUGAAAGAAAAUGGUUCUAUAUUCUCACAUAAAAUUACCACUUAGACAUUAACUUCUGUUUUUUGAAAGAUCCUAUUUUGUUCAUAAUCCCCAAGUCCAAAUAUUUCUCUCUUCAUCUGAUUUUGUUUCCUGAAUUUUUUUGUCUCCUGUCAUUUUCAUUAAAUUUUUCCUCAAUCAAUUCUGAGUAGAUAUUUGAACAUCUUUCAUAUUCUCAGUAGCCUAUGUUUCAAUUAUUAAUGUGGUUAUUAACCUAUAUUUUUAUAGCCAUGAUAUCAACAUUAAGAUCAGAAGAAAAAGAUAGUCACUUUGUGAUUCAGAUGUAUUUUCUAUUAAGUUAUUUUGAAACUUCAAUAUUGAUUGUUACUUUUAAAAUUACCUUUUAGAUUUACUAAUUUACUAAUCACUGUAAUUGCAUGGGUGGAAUUAGAAUGGGAAUUUUAGAGCUGGAAGGGAUUUUAGAAAUAAUCUAAUACAACUACCCAUUUAAGACAAGGGGAAGGCACAGCCCAGAGAAAAGUCAGGUAACUAGUCUAUGGUCUCACAACUAGUUUAGUGAAAAGCCAAACAGACAAUCCAAUGAUUCUAAUUUUCAGGACUUUAUGCUUUCUACUCUCCUCCUUACCAGUUUCAAAAUGCCUUUUAGUCAAUCAUUCAAUGAACAAAUAUAGUAUCUUAUGCUGUUCUAGGGAUUGAGUUAUAUUCCAAUAAUAGACACUUUAGACAAAUACAACCCUACUUAUCUACUACAUGAUAGCCUGUAAGUUAGGGGAUAGGACAUAGGCAGAUUAGUUGAUUUUAUGGCCAAUUCUUAGCAAAUUUCUGUGUAACUUCUAUAUACAACUGCUGAGGUCAAUAUGAAGGCCAAUGGCAGAGUCAGUUGUGCUUAAUAGAAAGACAUAAUGAAAGGUCAUAAUUAGGGCAUAAUGAUAGGGUCAUAUUCUGAUUGGCAGAGAGGAAAGAGAGAGAUGCCAAGAAUGCCAAGAGAAAGGAUUGGCAGAAGUAAUGAUGCUUUGCAAGAAAUGUAAAUCUUGAGGUUAGUCUGUUACAGAGGGCCAAUAAUAAAAGGCAUAAAUUAUUUUCCACAAAAACGAGAAUGUGAGUGGAUUCCUUGAAUGAUAUAUUGAAACAUAUUUUAGGAAAGCUUUUUAUGAUCAUUAUCAAAGACAAACUGGAACAGAGGUACAUUAUAGGCAAAAAGAUGUUCCAAUAGGAUGUAAGAUGAAAAACUGGAGUGGAUAUGGAAGUAGUAAAGGUUAAAUGAUAACUUAACCUUUACUACUUCCAUAUAGCUAUUAAUUGGUUGCAAAGAGCAAAGGAGAUAAUUGAGUUUUAAGACUAAGCACCUGGAAAAAUGUAGUUAUCACAAAUAGAAAUGAGGAAGUUGGAAAGGGUAGGGAGGCUUAUGGGAUUAUUGAGUAAGGUAACUUUAGUGUGUUAGUUAACAGGAAACCUAUCAAUGGAGUUAUCUCAAGAGAUAGUUUAAAUUUUAGGGACUUGAGAGUAAAGUCAGAUGGUUUCCAUGUUUUCUGGCAAAAGAUCAAUGUGGAUCACACCACAUUAACUUUUAUAACUUUGAUAGGCUGAGUUGAAGAGAUUAGCUCUCAGUUUUUUAUGGUAAAUAACCAAAGGCAGAGAGGCAUAAAGUGUGAAGACAAGAAAAGGGCAAUGAGUAUGCUUAAGCUUAUUAGUAUUUGUAAAAUGGAAAAUAGAGACUGUUUUUUUUUUUUUUUUUUUUACCAGCUACCACCAUAUAGAUAAAAAAUCAUGAUCCAAAAGAGGUUUGGAAAUCAUCAGGUGAAUUAAAGACAUCAAGCAUGAGUACAAGAAAUUAAAGAGGAAAAAACAUAAUCUAAGUGUGAGAGACCUCUAAGAGAAGGCAGGCAGGCAAAAUGCCAUGAUAAGAAUACCCUAUUGAAGCAUUCAUUCUACAAAUCCUAUAUUGGCAACUAAUAAAUCUAUUUUGGAUGAUGCUGUAAUUGAAUUAUGUUGUUUAAUUACCAUUGAAAAUAAAACUUUUGUCCUUUUCUCAGAUCAUCCAGGGAAAAAUGCUAGUGCAAAGGUAAUUACAUUGAUACUUUAAAUUUAUUUUCUGACACAUACUGAAAACUUUCUUGUUAUUUAGUUAUCUUGUUUCAUAGCCUAUUCAACUCACUCUUGAAAGAGUCUUUAACAAACCAAGAUUAGAAAAAAGGAGUCAAGGAAAAACCAAAAUUACAUAAAGUUGAUAAUUCCAUAAUUUAGAAAGAAAAGAAAUAUAUUUAAGGACUUUUCAGUAUUAUUUUUUCCCCUUCCUCCCCAUUGUAUUACAGAUUUCAUAAACAACUUUUGAGUUAAAUGAUGCUGAUGAUAUUGAUAUUUUUCUUUUUUUCCCUUUUAAUUACAACUAUGAGGAUAAAUGAAUUUUUAAAAAAAUCACACCUAAUAGAAGAUGCAUCCUAUAGUCUUUUUUUUUUUUGAAUUUUGUGUUUUUAACACCUUAUUUCAAAGUUGCAUUUUUAUACUUCUUGGCUCUUUAUUGCAUGAAGUCACAUGAAUCCAAUACUAUCUGUAUUCUCCAAUUCAAGUAUUAUAUACGAACCAAUUACUGUCUCAUAUGCAUGUCAAAUGCUUCCUGUUUGACUUUAGGAUGCAAAGAUAAAAACAAACGGUUAUUAGCCAUAAGGGAUUUUCUUUGUGUGAAGGAAUACAACAUAAAGAUCUGGAAUAAAGAAGACAAGGGAGAAGAGAUGCUCUGAGAAAAUUGUGGGGAGAGCAUAAAAGGUUAAUAAAUGUGGAAGGAAGAUUUCAUAGGUGAUUCUUCCUGAAAUAAAGAAGUAGGAUAAUAAAGAAUAAAAAUAGCAAAAUAAAACAAUAAAAAUAAAGAUUAAAAAAAAAGAAGGCAAGAGAAGGGUCUAUUUAAGUGCCUUAAGAAGAUUACUUGACAGCUUUGUAUAGAAUAAACCAGAGAAGGUAGGAAUCAGAGAAAGAAGACCAGGUAGUAAUUAAUUGCAAAAAUCCAGGUAAAAGUUGAUAAGAUCAUGAAUGUAGAAAGGUAGAUUUGGGAAUGAAUAAAAGGGAGGUGAUGACACUUACCGUGGAGUGCUGGUUUUUAAGGGAGAACAGAAAAUGACAAUACUAAUGAUUAAGAAGGUAGAUGAAGGAAAGACAGGAAAGAAGGAGUUCAUACUUGAUUAUUUUAAAUUUGAAGAUCCAGAAAGACAAGAGAAGUCCAGGAGUCAGACCUAAAAUUCACUUUUUGUCCAGUGAAAGCAGAGGUCAACCAGACUAACAUCUAACAUCUCCCUUUCUCUGGACAUUACAUCUCUUCUAAUAAAGUAUCAGAUUGCUCUCGGUUUUCUGGCAGCUAUAAAGUGUAAUGCUCAGGCUAGCUAGCUUUCUGGAGGUCCUCUGAAGGGCCUUGGAUUCAGCAGGAUAAACACCACGAGAAUGAACUAGAGUCCAAAGUCAUUAUUGUCUCUUGACAGUCUGUAGCUAUCAUAGUCUGACCCAGUCUCAGUCUGACCCAAUCUCCUUCAGCAGUCUACCAAUCUGACUUCUGUCUGACUUCCUGUCCCCAGUUCAUAUAUAUAUAUAUAUACACACCCUAUUAUAUCAUUGCAGCAUACUGAAUAUGCUAGAACUAGAAAAUUCCUCUGAAUUAACAUCUUGUUUCAAGUAUACUUCUGCAGAGUUCUGGCUCUCUACAUACAAUAAGGUGAUAUUAAACAUAUAAUUCAACCCCCCGCCCCCAACAAAUUCUGCAAAACUUUUAUGUAUCCAUAAUCCUCCAAAUUAAGGUUUGAGCUUGUGUUUGUCAUUUCAAUUUGUUGAGUACUUUCAUAAAAUUUAAGUAUACAAAAAACUUGCACUUUUUGUAUAAAUGCAAUCUUGUCAUAUUUUAAAAGGGAAUAUUUAAACUAAAACUAUUUUUAUUGAAUUAGUAAUGUAUAUUUCAAGUUAAAGGCUAAUCUUCAAGAAGAAAGAUUAUUCUGGGCAAAAAAAACCUUAUGCUCAAAUGAAAGUAGUUCAAAUUUGAAAAAAAAUGAUCCAACUAGGCUUAGAAGAAAUGACAGUUCAUUUUUUAA
This 6247-nucleotide long non-coding RNA is filed under the name Sarcophilus harrisii (Tasmanian devil). Its description in RNAcentral is "lncRNA (ENSSHAG00000024920.1)". Lineage: Eukaryota; Metazoa; Chordata; Mammalia; Dasyuromorphia; Dasyuridae. The record is from RNAcentral.